AAAUUGAAGAGUUUGAUCAUGGCUCAGAUUGAACGCUGGCGGCAGGCCUAACACAUGCAAGUCGAACGGUAACAAGAAGCAGCUUGCUGCUUCGCUGACGAGUGGCGGACGGGUGAGUAAUGUCUGGGAAACUGCCUGAUGGAGGGGGAUAACUACUGGAAACGGUGGCUAAUACCGCAUAACGUCGCAAGACCAAAGAGGGGGACCUUCGGGCCUCUUGCCAUCAGAUGUGCCCAGAUGGGAUUAGCUAGUUGGUGAGGUAACGGCUCACCAAGGCGACGAUCCCUAGCUGGUCUGAGAGGAUGACCAGCCACACUGGAACUGAGACACGGUCCAGACUCCUACGGGAGGCAGCAGUGGGGAAUAUUGCACAAUGGGCGCAAGCCUGAUGCAGCCAUGCCGCGUGUAUGAAGAAGGCCUUCGGGUUGUAAAGUACUUUCAGCGGGGAG
Molecule: ribosomal RNA, 449 nt
Filed under: Salmonella enterica
Lineage: Bacteria; Pseudomonadati; Pseudomonadota; Gammaproteobacteria; Enterobacterales; Enterobacteriaceae
Also listed under: 1 other name
Description: partial 16S ribosomal RNA
Rfam family: Bacterial small subunit ribosomal RNA
Source: RNAcentral